UGGGGGAAUAUUGGACAAUGGGCGAAAGCCUGAUCCAGCAAUGCCGCGUGUGUGAAGAAGGUCUUCGGAUUGUAAAGCACUUUCGACGGGGACGAUGAUGACGGUACCCGUAGAAGAAGCCCGGCUAACUUCGUGCCAG
Molecule: ribosomal RNA, 139 nt
Filed under: uncultured bacterium
Lineage: Bacteria
Description: partial 16S ribosomal RNA
Rfam family: Bacterial small subunit ribosomal RNA
Source: RNAcentral